Molecule: non-coding RNA, 8202 nt
Organism: Monodelphis domestica (gray short-tailed opossum)
Lineage: Eukaryota; Metazoa; Chordata; Mammalia; Didelphimorphia; Didelphidae
Source: RefSeq, a predicted model, not a curated record
CGUGAUCUCUCCACCAGGGAGGUGAAAUAAACCCUGAGCAAACUGUUCUGAGUUAGCCACCUUAAGCUGUCCUUUUUCUACAUUUGGCAACACUACAAAGGGACCUCAGAACAUAAUCUAUAGGUAAGUAGGAAACCCCACCCUCCCACUAGUCUCCUGGGCUUCCCGCCCAUGCAAAAGGCAGGAAGCAGCUACUGGACUUCCCCUCCAUCUACUCCCUUUGAUCCCUUGUCUCCGUCAUCCUUCCCAUUCUCCCUUCUCUCUCCACCUCUUCCUCCACCUCUUCCUUCCCUCUGGAUCCCUUGUGUAGCUGGGUUUUUCUUUUUUCUGCCAGCUCCUCUGGGAACCCACCACUGAGAUCCACCAGGGCUUCUUUGUCAUCUGGCUCAUCUCUUUCUCCCUCUUUUCCACUCUCUCUUCCUCCUUUCCUCUCCUCCAUUAUAACCUCUCCAGUUUAUUUAUUUCUUUCUCCCUCCUUUCUCCUCCAAGCCUAACUUCCGAAGCCCUGCAGAACUGAGCUUUCAAACUCUUCCCAGGAACCCUGCUAAGUCCUCCUCAGUGCUCUUUUUUCUGCCAAUUUUUCCUGUAUCCCACCUUCCCUCUUCCAGCCCAGCUUCUCCAGCUGUCCCCUUCUUCACCUCACCCCCUUCAACCUAGCUCUUUCUCCUGCCAGAGACCCUCUGCUGAGUGGGGCUUUUUCUCCUUCUCUCCUUGCUUUCCUGCUAUCUUCCUUCCCCUGUCUCUCCCUUUUUUCUUCCUCCUUGCUCUCUCUAGAUCCUGAUCUCCCCUGAGCACCUCAGAUCUGGUACUCUCCAUCUUUCUUUUUUUGUUUGUUUUUCAUUCCACCUACCUCCUGCUUCUUGCUACUUUUGCUCUUUUUCUCUCUCUCCCUUCCUGUCUGCCCUGCCUCACUGAACUUCUCCACUCCAAGGGUCCACUUCCCCCCAACUUCAUCCCUCCCUCUUGGGAAAUCACUGGGAUACCUGCUCCCUGCUCCCUGCUCCUGCUUGAUCGAUUCCUAGCCUGCAGCCCCUGAUCCCUGCCACCAGACCCCUGCUGAGAGUUCUUCAGAAGCAGGUAAGGUAUACAUCCUUUCCCCAACCACCCCCUAGCACAGAAGCACCCCACCCCAUUCGUGUGGAUUUUUUCUCUCUCAAACUCUCCCCCACCACCAUGCAAACUUCAAUUUCCUGCCCAACCCCAGAAGUUUGCACCUACACCUGCUGUUUUGUUUGUUCUGUUCUGUUCUAAAAUAUAGCAUAAUGUUGAAAACCCUGAUGAACAGCCUUUUGUCCACUGGGGUUUUUGAUAACCUUAGGGGCUCAGACUAGCUUUUUCUUUUAUUAAUAUUAUGAGGUUUUCUUUUUCUAUUCCUCAAUAAUAAACACCAAAAGGCCUACCUGCUUAACAUGCAGAUUCAAAUGCAGGCCAAAAUGUAAGCCCAACUGGAGAUUUUAAAGAGAUCUGUGUCUGGUUUCCAGAUCCAACAGGAAGACCCCUCUCCACCUCUGUCUCAGGUGGAAGAUACCUUUCCACCUCUGCCUUAGGUGUAAGAUACAUCUUCACCUACAUCUCAGGUGGAAGACCCCUCUCUACCUAUAUCUCAGGUGGAAUUUCUCCUCUCACGUCUCUUGCAACUCCUGGCCAACCUGUUAUCCCCUGCCCCUUCUCCUAGUGCCCUACCAUCUCCUUGCCCUUCUCCCAGCCCACAGCCUUGCCCAUCCCCAGACCUAGUUCCUACCCCUCCCCUUUUCCCCACCUCUCCCCUUACUUUUUUCAGUUUUGACACAAACAUCCUCAAAAAAAGACUAGAACUGCAUAUGAAUCAUAUGAAUAUAUUUUCCCCUUAAGUGAAGUGCCCACAUUAUGGACAAAUGGAAGCAUGGUGACCUUAAGGCACCACAUGCCUUUUACUCCCCAGUACAUAAAAAUUUUAAACAAAAUGUUCCCUUAUAUGAAGAUGGACCAAUUGUAGUCAUAAAAACUCUGGAGAAAAUUUUCCCCACAUAUGAUCCUGCUUAUCAGGAUGUGCAAAACUUGCUCCAGGAAUUUUUGAAUGAAUAGGAGAAAGGGAAAAUUAUUUCCACUGUUAAUAGAGCUAGAGGAAGGAAUGCAAUUCAUUGGCCUGAACAUGAACCAAAAUGGAAUUAUAAUGAUGAGGAUGAAUAUUUUCAGCUAUGUUAUUCCAGGGAGUCUUUGCUAAAGACAAUGUGCGAAUACUCUGAUAGGCCUGGCACAUGGACCAAAUUUGAAAAUCUUAAACAAUUGGAGGAAGUCACACUCCCAAUUUAUGGACAGAUUAAUUGAACUAGGAGGAAGGUGUAUAGACCUGGACCUCACUAGAGAAAGGGAAGUGUGGCAAACAUGGAGACAAUUUGUGAACAAUUGCUCCAAAGUGAUCCAAAACUAUUUCAAAUCUAACUGCCCAAAUUGGCCUAAUAUGGGCCUAGAAGAAUUGCACAGGGUCACAGUAUAUAUUUCUAAAGGCCAUGAACAAAGAAAUUAGGAAACAAAUCACUUGGUAGCAAAAUUAUGGAAGGAACUAAAAUCCUUAACUGAAAAAUUUGAUAAAAAGAGAGAAUGAAGAUCUACCAAUGAUCAUUGCCCCUUUGCAGGAAUUCACACAUUAAUCAUUAAUGUGCUACUUCUGUGCAAUACAGGGUCACAUAAUGAUGAAUUGAUGGAAUUGGAAACAGGCAGCUUGAAAUAACAAUUUCAGAAAUAAUAGUUUCAGAAAUAAUAACAUUAGAAAUAAUAACUUCAUGAAUAAUAACACCUUUAGUAAUCCUAACUAUUAUAGAAAUCUCAACAAUUAGGGUAAUAAUACUCCACAUCCAAAUUCAAAUCGGGAAAACUAUAACUCACACCUACAACAACAAUAGAUCCAAAGUGGAGCUCAUCCAUAUUAUACUCAGGGUGAGACUGCCCCUCAGCUUAGGGGAACCCAAGGUAAUUCCCCAAACACACUAAAUAGUCAAAAAUCUUUAUGAAGGUAUGAAGAAAGAAUAGGGCACUGGAAUGAGAGGGUACAGCCUUUGAUUUCCCAGAUACUGAUGUCUUAAUGCCAGAAAUUGAAAAGGAAUAUUUCCCUUCUAACAAAAUAUUACAAGUAUAUACAAGAGUUUAUUAAUGCCUGGCAUUGAAAAGAUUAUCUUGGAAAAUUAAGCACUGGCUAAUAAGCAUAAUGAAAUAUCCAAAUCACUAGAAAUUUGGAUCAUUAUUAAAUUUAACCCAAAAAGCACUUCAAAAUGACUUAUAGUAUUUGGAACAUUUACAAUAAAUACCACACUACACUGUGAUUGACAUAAAUCCUUUGAAGGGAAAAUUUAUGGCUCCAUAUUUAAAGUGUUGGUUAAUCUAUAAUAUUGCUCCCAUUUAAAGAGAAUACCUUCUAUAAUAUUGCUCCCAUGUCAAGAGAGCACCUUCUACCAAUGAUGAGUAAUUGUAUUGAUCCUAUUGUAUUGUACUAAUUGUUUAUUAAUUGUUUGCUUUGAGAAUUGUUGCUAUAUAGCUAUUGUAAUAUUUGCUAUUCGGUAUGUAUUUUGUAACAUCCUAUAUUUGACCCUGAAUAUAUACCUUUGUAAAAGUCCAUGAACUAAUUGGACAGAAAACUUGUAUUGAUGACUUGAUGUACUUGUAUUUUGUAUGUUUUGAAAAUUUGAAAUUUUCUUUGAACAUGUCUAACUCAUUGCCUAUUGUUUUUUAAACCUAUUACUUUACUUUGAGAAAAAUCAUUUGCACUCACACUGUGGAUCAUGGCUAAGUUAAGAAGAAAUGGAUCUCAAUUCUUGGAAUUCAGAGACAAACUCCUUGUGGAAGAUGCCAUGGAGAUACCUGUGAAGACCACAUGCUGCUCCAGGAGAUCCUUAGCAAACCAGAUGUGCAAAAUUGAACUUUGGAGGGUUAAAUUCAUUUGUUUUGUUAGAAUGCAUUUGUUUUAUAUAUACUUUGUUGUGCAAAAUGGGACGGCCCCCUAAUUGGUUUUGUUCUUGUUUCUCUUUUGUUUCGUUGUCCCCAGGUAGUAUUUUCCCAGUGUAAAAUUGUAUGUACAUUAGUAUGUUAUGUUUAUUAUGAUCCACUGGGGAGACUGGGCUCCAAAAGGAUCACAGGGAGAAAUGUGGGUUUUAAACUGUAUCCUGGCUGGGGAUUGCAGUUCCCAGCAUGCCCCAGGGGUCCCUCCCUCCUACUUCCUGGAGUGGAAUUGAAUGGACCAAUCCCAUGCUGGGGGAGAAAUCACAGCCCUAUUUCCUGGCAUGGGAUUACUCCUGAGUUGGACUAAUCCUGUACUAGUGAGGGGUCAUGUCCUCCCCACUUUGCAGCGUGGGAUUGGUCUAUAUAAGGACCAAUCCCACACCUAGGUAGGCUCUUGUUCUUUCUAGGAAUGAGGGUAGUGCAUGGGGAUGGGAGUAGUGAAAGUGAGUAGUUAAUUUCAGGGUGGGAUGGGAAACUCUGGUUUCUUUUGUUUAAAGAAAAUAUUUAAAAGAUCACAGUGAGUGAGGAGUUUUUCUUUUAGCCUUUUUCUACAAUGUUCAACUCAUCUCUAUGUAUUUGAGAAACAAAACCUUUAUUAGAGAGACUUGUAAAAAUUUUUGUGCCAUUCUGAUUCCUGUGUUUUACUCUUACUCCUAUUUCCCCCGUUAGUUUCUGACUACCCCUUCCUCAACUUGCUCUCUUUUCUAUCAGCCCCACUCUCCUUCUCUUAUCCCUUCUCCCUCCUACUUUCUUCUAGGACAAAAUAGACUUAUAUACCAAUUUAUUCUGUAUGUUCUUCCCUCCCUAAGCUAAUUCCAAUGAGAGUAAGGUUCAUAUGCUCUCCUCCUCACCUCUCCCAUCUUUCCCUUCCCUGUAAAAGUUCUUUCGUGCCUCUUAUAUGAGAUAAUUCUUCCUAUUCUAUUUCUCCCCAAAGAGAAUGAGAAUCUCUGACCCUUUUCUAAAUCAUGAACUGGGACUACCACAACCAAUUAGUAUUUUUCUAAAGAACUAAUUAAUCUGGGAUAUUGAUUAAUACUUAUGGUCGUUAUAUUUUAUAAAGUUAUAUAGUAAGCUGAAUAUAAUGUAUUCGGUUGUUUUUUUCUGUAACUUCAUAUUAACUGCAGUUUCUGUAAUUUCCCAUUUUCUGUAAUUCUGUAAAACAACAUAUUGCAAUGAGGUGUGGCUUUACCCAAUCUGUGUAUCCUAAUUAGAAGGGAGUGACUCGUAGGUCAUCAUCCAAGAGACAGGUCUCUGAGCUGAAGGCCUCUGUCCUUUCCUAGGCAUGCAUAGAAGGCCUAUUCUGUGGAAGACCUACUUCCUAAGCAUACACAGAGAAGACUUGUCAUAUAUGCCUUAUAUGCCUCUUUGCCAUCUAAGGAAAGAAAGGGGUUGGCUAUGGAAGUGUCUGACCUCUGGAGGUCCAGAAAAGAGAAGUGUUAGGGUAUAUAACUGGUGGAAAUUCCUCAUUCACUUAUCUUUAGUUGGGCAUAUGGAAGCUUAAAGAGCCAGCUUUCCUGAGAGACAUCAAUUCUCUCUCAAUAAAUCUGUUAUUGACUUGCAGCUUUGCCUCUUUAUUUUUAGAUUGACUGGGAUAUUCAUCACAUCCUAUCCUACUUCUCUCAAUGUAUUCCUCUUUUUCAUGCCUAUUUUUUUUUUAGAAAUCAUCCCAUCAUAUUCAACUCAUACCCUUGCCCUCAAUCUGCAUAUACUUCUUCUAACAGCCCCAAUAAUGAUAGAGUUCUUGGGAGUUAUAAGAAUUUUCUUCUUGUGUAUGUAUUGUGAAUAUUGGAUUAGGUUCUCCCCUAAUUUUAACAAUGAAGGUACUUAGCUCUUCCUUAAUUGUGAAGAUUAAAUUGUAAUCCCCUGUCUUUUUAGAUUUUAAUCCCCAUAAAUGUAAACAUGGUACUUUAAAGUUAAGUAUGGAGAUCUACCCAUUUUUGGACUUAACCAAAAAAAUAUACGAAAAGCCAUCUCACACACUAAGUGGGAGGUCUCUGACCCACUUGUGAAAGAGUGGGUGAUGAAUCAGAAUCAAACUGACUGCCUUCUAGGUAGUCCUAGAGUGGAGAAUUGGCUGUGAUUGGUAGACAUAAAGAUUAAGAGAAGUGAUGCAAGAAAAAAAAAGUCUUUAAAAGUGAUAACCAAGGACUUGAAAUCAGUUCUUCUGGGAGUUUAACUUGGAACUCUCACUUGGAGUGGAACCUCCUGUGAGAGAGAGUUCUGCUGCAGUUCUACUGGAGUGGAGAAUUUUCUUCAUUCAGAAGAGUGCUGACUGGACCCGCUUCCUCGUGACCCCUUUUCUUUGGCUUUCUGAUGAGUGCAAAGGCUGACUCCCUUUCCUUGGCCUUUCUGGAGGCACCAGCCUCUGGAGAGGCUCAUCGUCUUGGGACUCCUUUCCCUCUGCUGGGGCCUUUGAAUUCCUGCCUGGCUCAGAGGAGGCCAGAAUAGCUCUCUCUGUCCUUUCCUCUCUUUCUCUCUUCCUUAAUAUUUUCCCUCUAUUAUAAAUAAACUACCAUAAAUUCCAUUCUGAUUUGAAUAACUCAUUUGGGAUUUAUAAAUUUAAAUUUCUGGUGACCAACUAAAAUAUUAGUCAGUCCAAUGAUGAAUUUAACAGCAUUUAAACAGUUUCAUUUUAUUGAAUGUUUUUUUAUUUCUCUUUCCUGUUUAAUUUUUUGUGCUUCACAUUAGAAUUGUAUUUGAGAGUCAAAUUUUCCAUCCAACUCUGUUUUUUUUAUCAGGAAUAUCUGAAAGUUCUAUAUUUCAUUGAAUUCUCAUUUUUCUUCCCAGAAGGAUUAUACUGCUUUCUUGAGUAAGUGAUUUUUGGUUGAAGUGCUCAUUUCUUUUCCCUCUAGAAUAUCAUAUUCCAGACUCUCUGAUCCUUUAAUAGAAAAGCUGCUGAAUCUUGUGUUUUUCUGAUUGUAGCUCCCUGAUAUUUGAAUUGUUUCUUUUGGGCUGUUUGGAAUAUUUUCUCCUUAACCUGGGAUUUAUGGAAUUUGGCUGUUAUUCCUGAGAGUUACUAUUUUGGGAGGGUAUCUCAUUCAGGAAAUGAUCAUGGAUUCUUUCAAUUGAAAUCUUACCCUCUGGGUCUAGAAUAUCAGGACAGUUUUCCUAGAUACUUUCUUGAAAAAAUUAUGUUCAAGCUCUAUUUUUUUUAUUAUGUCUUCCAGGCAGUCAAAUAAUUCUUAGAUGAUCUCUCCUGUAUUUAUUUUCCAGGCCAAUUGUUUUUCCUAUGAGAUAUUUCACAUUUUCUUCUAUUUCAUUUUCAUUCUUUUGACUUUGUUUCUUCAUGUUUCAUGGAGUCAUUAGUUUCUAAUUUUUAAGGCAUGAUUUUCUUGAGUGAGUACUUCCUUUUCCAUUUGAUCAAUUCUGUUCUAUAAAGAUUUCCUUUCCUCAGUGAAUUAUUGUACCUGUUUUUCUAUGCCAAUUCUGCUUUUUAAGAAGUUCUUCUCAUCAGUGCAUAUUUAUAUAUUGUUUUCCAUUUGGCCAAUUCUGCUCUUUUAGAAGUUCUUCACUUCAGUGGCCUUUUAUCCUUCUUUUCUCAGUUGGUCUAUUCUGUUUUUUAAGAUGUUAAUUUCUUAAGUCUUUUUGUGUCUCCUUUACCAAACUGUUAACCAUUUUUUUCCUAUGAUUUUCUUGUAUCACUAUCAUUUUCUUUCCAAAAUUUUCUUCUUCCUCUCUUAUUUGAUUUUUUAAAAUUCUUUUUGAGCUCUUCAACUAAUUCUUUUUGGGUUUAAGGCCAGUUAAUGGAUGCAGCAGUAUUGGUUUUCUUGUCAUCUUCUAAGUUUGUGUCUUGGUUGUCUUUAUCACUAAAAUAACUUUCAAUGUUGAGUUUCUCUUUUUGUCUAUUAGUUUGCUUGUUUUCCUGUCUUUUUCUCUUCUUUUAGUUUAAAAAAGCUGUUAAAAGUUCCCUCUCUAACUUUGUUGAAGGGAAAACGGUUCCAAGCUUCAGGUUUUUUGUGCAGCUGCUUUCAGAGCUAGCUAUGAGGAUCUAUAAGCUUUCAGUUCUUCAAAAGUAGUGUGAUGUAAGAAGAGGUGUCUUUAAUACUCUUUCCUAGCCUAUGCAUUAGUCUGUGUAUUAAUUAGAAUCUUGAACCCUAGAGAUUACAUUUUCCACAAUUCCCUUUUCCUUUUCGUCUAUGUGUGUCAUUAUGUUGAUUGAAAUUUAAGUUUUGGUUUUGGCCAUGCUUUCUCUGGAUCCAUGUGAAGGAGGGAGGAGUGCUCUUGGUUUUU